Molecule: ribosomal RNA, 207 nt
Filed under: uncultured bacterium
Lineage: Bacteria
Description: partial 16S ribosomal RNA
Rfam family: Bacterial small subunit ribosomal RNA
Source: RNAcentral
CGUGUAGGCGGUUUGGUAAGUCAGAUGUGAAAGCCCUGGGCUUAACCCAGGAAGUGCAUUUGAUACUGCCAUUCUUGAGUAUGGGAGAGGAGAGUGGAAUUUCCAGUGUAGAGGUGAAAUUCGUAGAUAUUGGGAGGAACACCCGUGGCGAAGGCGACUCUCUGGACCAAUACUGACGCUGAGACGCGAAAGCGUGGGGAGCAAACA